CUGAGUACUACACUCUCUACCCUUUGUGAACUAUUAUACCUGUUGCUUCGGCGGCGCCCGCAAGGGUGCCCGCCGGUCUCAUCAGAAUCUCUGUUUUCGAGCCCGACGAUACUUCUGAGUGUUCUUAGCGAACUGUCA
RNAcentral lists this unclassified non-coding RNA (138 nucleotides) under soil metagenome. RNAcentral's name for it is "partial internal transcribed spacer 1". The record is from RNAcentral.